AUCUUAACCAUGUACCUAAUAGAACUUAUAUCCAAUAUAUAAGAAAAUUUAAUAGUUAAAAUUCUAUUUUUUAAAAGAUUAAUUUCAUAUUCUAAAUAUAUACUUUAAACAAUCAUCCCCCAAACUCUAAACCCUGAAUGAUAAAUCUAAUCUCCAAAUUUAUUUAUUUUCAUUUUAACUCAAAAUCUUAAAUGUAAACUUUAAAUCUAUUUCCAAACUUUAAUUUCUGAUUUUCAACUUAAACCCUAAACUCUAUUUCAUAUACCUCAAUAUCAAUAACAAAGUUUAAAAUUUAAAAUUUAAAACUAUAAAUUUAAUUCUAAAGAUUAAUUUUUAACAUUUAAAUUGUGAAAUCUAA
RNAcentral lists this long non-coding RNA (358 nucleotides) under Brassica napus (rape). Its description in RNAcentral is "long non-coding RNA (BNAP_LNC011310)". The record is from RNAcentral. Lineage: Eukaryota; Viridiplantae; Streptophyta; Magnoliopsida; Brassicales; Brassicaceae.